Molecule: unclassified non-coding RNA, 226 nt
Filed under: uncultured bacterium
Lineage: Bacteria
Description: contains 16S-23S intergenic spacer region
Source: RNAcentral
UCCGGGUUGAUCCCGGCUGUCCUGUGCAUGUCAAGCCCUGGUAAGGUUCUUCGCGUAGCUUCGAAUUAAACCGCACGCUCCGCUGCUUGUGCGGGCCCCCGUCAAUUCCUUUGAGUUUCAGCCUUGCGGCCGUACUCCCCAGGCGGGGCACUUAAUGCGUUAGCGCCGGCACCCGGAGGGUCGCUCCCCCGGGCACCUAGUGCCCAUCGUUUACGGCGUGGACUAC